This 506-nucleotide long non-coding RNA is filed under the name Monodelphis domestica (gray short-tailed opossum). Its description in RNAcentral is "lncRNA (ENSMODG00000038327.1)". The record is from RNAcentral. Lineage: Eukaryota; Metazoa; Chordata; Mammalia; Didelphimorphia; Didelphidae.
AGCCUUCCUAAGAAAGCAACAACUUGUUAUUGACACUAAGGCUGGCCACUUGGAAAUGAAUUACUCAACGCAUGUCAAGUUGAAGAUGGAUUAUGUUUCUUGGCCCCAGAGGGCAGAAUUAAGAACUAUAGAAUGAAAUUUGGCUCAAUGACUCAUGUUCAAGAAUGCCCAUUCUACGUCACUAUCACCCCAAAAUGUAGCAAGCAAAUCCAGCAAGGCUUCUGCUCCCACAAGGCUUCAGCGGUUGCCUCACUGUACUGUGUCAGAGGACAGCUGGGCAGUGCAGUCACUCCCCUGCUAGAUAGCAGCAGUGAAAAUGCUGAUGAAACUCUCAUUCCAAUAAAAAGACAAAGAAAAAUAUGUUGCUGCUUCUUGGCUACCCUUGGGUCUCGAUCUUGCUUUGUUUCUGGAAAAUGAAGUUUUGCCAUAACACAACUAGCUGGAGCACAAGAUUUUCUUACUUUUUCUGAUCUACAAGCAACAGACUGGUUUGAAGUAGCCUGAAG